RNAcentral lists this unclassified non-coding RNA (294 nucleotides) under Bombus terrestris (buff-tailed bumblebee). RNAcentral's name for it is "misc RNA ENSBTSG00005026404.1". Lineage: Eukaryota; Metazoa; Arthropoda; Insecta; Hymenoptera; Apidae. The record is from RNAcentral.
ACUACAUCACUUUAUGAACCUUCGUGGCCCAACGUAAUUACUACACCGACUAAAAAAUUUAACACGAUGCUGAUUUUAACGUUCUCUGUUUAUAAAUGACGGCUACUUGCGAUGAACUAUUUACAGAUUAUUCGUAAUCAAAAUAAAAUUCUCGUCAUCGUUAUGACGUGUGGCACUAAUAAGUUAAACUUAAAAGUUAGAAAAUUCUGCUCUGGAGUCGGAAAUUUUGCAUUCAUUUAUUUUACCAUUGACACGAUUGAACAUAAUUAAAUAUCACUUAUGUACAAUUCAAAC